Long non-coding RNA from Schistocerca piceifrons (Central American locust), 833 nucleotides. RefSeq lists it as uncharacterized. The record is from RefSeq and is a predicted model, not a curated record. The transcript is spliced from 3 exons. NCBI's taxonomy places the organism in Eukaryota, Metazoa, Arthropoda, Insecta, Orthoptera, Acrididae.
GUUUUGUCUUGUUUUUAAAAAUUUUCAGCUGUUAUGGACGGAAUGGUUUUUCGUACGGUGAAGGAAAAGUGGAAAUAUUAUACUGCAGCUGUUUACACCUAGGCUAAUUAAAAACAAAUGGCGAUUGUCCUGACUAACACAGAAACUAUAACCGUUGUUUUCCGGGUGCCAAAUUUAACUGGACUAGCAAAUCCGCUUGAGACCGUAACAUGUAAACACGAAAGCGAAAAACGGUUACCGCAAUUCGGUUUUCUUAUUUCAGAACAUGUUUCGCAUGUACAAGUAGUGAUACAAUUCAAAAAAGAUGCUCUAGACCUGAACUGUUAGCGGAAGAACAUGGGAAUCCUCAGAAGAGAUUGCGAAUCUUGGAUACAAAGAAAAGCAAUUGCCCAGCUACUCUAAACAUGAAGUUAAGCAGUUAGUAAAUAAACUCAGGGAUACCAAGGCAAAAGUUCUUGCAAGGCUGCACAAGGAUUUAGCAUUGCCAAGGCCACCAAAUAGUUACUUGCAUUACUACUUAACUGUUUCCCAAGCAAGCACACACACACAUGGUACCAAGCAUUUUGAAACAAGUUGGUACAUACAUCCUUCAUAUGUAAAAAAAUAAAAAAAUUCGUACUCAAUGGAGAGACAUCUCUCAGUCAUUAAGUUGGCUCUAGAUAGAUUUGUUGAUAAAUUUUGCUGGGACACACAUACUGGGUCGAAUGAAUAUUUUACUGCAUUGAGAAAGCAAUUUACAGUCACAUAUAUCAGACUUUGUACGGUACAAAUAAGGUAUUAUUUGAUGAGACUAGACUGCAGAAUUAGGUUGAUGAGUAGAAUAAAUAAAUAAA